GUGCAAAGGUAGCGGAAUCACUUGGCUUUUAAAUGAGAACGUGUUGGAAUGGCUUAGGGAGGGCUGAUCUGUCACCUUUUUCCGGCCGAUGAAAUUGACCUACCCGCGGCUAAGCGGGGAUGGCCCCCUAAUACCAGGGGACCCUGUGGAGCUUUCGACACCGGGUUUAUUUUGUAAAACCUUCCCCCCUCACACGGGAACGAACAAAAAACACCUGUCCUAAUGUCUUUGGUUGGGGCGACCGCGGGGAAACAAAAAACCCCCACGUGGAACGGAGACACCUUCCCCUGAAAUAAAAGUUACAACUCUAACUAGCAGAACUUCUGACCUUAUGAUCCGGCAUACGCCGAUCAACGAACCGAGUUACCCUAGGGAUAACAGCGCAAUCCUCUUUUAGAGCCCAUAUCGACAAGAGGGUUUACGACCUCGAUGUUGGAUCAGGACAUCCUAAUGGUGCAGCCGCUAUUAAGGGUUCGUUUGUUCAACGAUUAAAGUACUACGUGAUCUGAUUUCAAAACCGGGGAUGA
This 527-nucleotide ribosomal RNA is filed under the name Nandus nandus. Its description in RNAcentral is "partial large subunit ribosomal RNA". It matches the Rfam family "Bacterial large subunit ribosomal RNA", at positions 1948 to 2627 of the family's 2925-position model. The record is from RNAcentral. Lineage: Eukaryota; Metazoa; Chordata; Actinopteri; Anabantiformes; Nandidae.